Molecule: ribosomal RNA, 468 nt
Filed under: uncultured bacterium
Lineage: Bacteria
Description: partial 16S ribosomal RNA
Rfam family: Bacterial small subunit ribosomal RNA
Source: RNAcentral
GACGAACGCUGGCGGCGUGCUUAACACAUGCAAGUCGAACGGAAAGGCCCUGCUUUUGUGGGGUGCUCGAGUGGCGAACGGGUGAGUAACACGUGAGUAACCUGCCCUUGACUUUGGGAUAACUUCAGGAAACUGGGGCUAAUACCGGAUAGGAGCUCCUGCUGCAUGGUGGGGGUUGGAACGUCUCGGCGGUUGGGGAUGGACUGGCGGCUUAUCAGCUUGUUGGUGGGGUAGUGGCUUACCAAGGCUUUGACGGGUAGCCGGCCUGAGAGGGUGACCGGCCACAUUGGGACUGAGAUACGGCCCAGACUCCUACGGGAGGCAGCAGUGGGGAAUAUUGCACAAUGGGCGGAAGCCUGAUGCAGCAACGCCGCGUGCGGGAUGACGGCCUUCGGGUUGUAAACCGCUUUCGCCUGUGACGAAGCGUGAGUGACGGUAAUGGGUAAAGAAGCACCGGCUAACUACGUG